RNAcentral lists this long non-coding RNA (1064 nucleotides) under Homo sapiens (human). Its description in RNAcentral is "LHRI_LNC969.1". Lineage: Eukaryota; Metazoa; Chordata; Mammalia; Primates; Hominidae. The record is from RNAcentral.
AUGAUUAGAAAAGUUCUAUUAACAAAGAAUAGUUUGCAGUGUAUUACUGUUCAAAUUCAGUUAUAGUUACUUGAGAUGAAUAUAUGCUGCAAUUUGAGCUAUUUAUUUUGGAUAACGAAUACCUUUUUAAGGAAGCCCAGGUCAAGCAUCAUAUGUAACAUGUAGUUAAUAUUCUCAUAUUGAAAGCUUGAGCUUGUAUUUGUUGUUACAUAUUAAAUGAGAUAGUUCAGAUGGUUGUCACAAUUGAGAUUAUGUGCAGGUUAGGUAGUAUUUUGAUCUCAGAUUUUAUAGAGCAGGACUAGAACCUUGGUGGCUGUUCAUUUCAGCCCUCUUAAGGAUGGAGGUUAAUUUUUCACAAGAAACCCCCUACUGCUAUUUACCUCUCCCUUCCAAAAAUGUUUUCUUAAGGGUAGUUUCAGUUCUGGAUCAUUAUCUCAUUACACUACUUGGGAAUUCUGGUACAAAAUUUCAGAGGACUGUAUUUACACCUCUUUAGUGUAAACACAGUUAUUGUGAUAAUGCACACAGAAGGUAUUUCUACCCCUUCUCUAAUAGGUGAGCUGAUUCUUUACACACUUGGGCAGAAGUAGAAUUCCCAGGAAUGAUGAUUUACAGUGGACAGGGACCUAAUGCAGCAAAGCAACCAGCAGGAAUUCACAGGAAUAGGCUUUGCCCCUUGACAUUUAAUACAGGGCAAAGUAUUAUCUAGUAGGUACCUGCCAAAUGGAGAGUUGUACAGUUUUACGGAAGUCAAUCACAAUCUUCAAAUCGGAUAUUCUGUCCAGGUGGGAUGCCAUAAGAUGUGACAGACAUUCCCUGAAUCUUCGUUCCUGAUUCUAAAAUAUGAUUUUAAAGCUGUUAUGUAUUACAAAGAAUGACAAGCAGCAGUUAAAAAUAUUUAGUAAACCCAGUUUAUUUACAUAAUACAUAUUUUGUCAUGCAGCUUACUGAAUUGCAGUUAGUGUAAUAACAAAAAAAGACAAGCACUGUCUUGCUAUUUGAAAAUGGCUUAAUAUAGAAAGAUAAUUGUUUCUUAAAUGAGUUAACCACAACCAUAUAAAUUG